UGGGGAAUAUUGGACAAUGGGGGCAACCCUGAUCCAGCCAUGCCGCGUGUGUGAAGAAGGCCUUUUGGUUGUAAAGCACUUUAAGCAGUGAAGAAGACUCCAUGGUUAAUACCCAUGGACGAUGACAUUAGCUGCAGAAUAAGCACCGGCUAACUCUGUGCCAGCAGCCGCGGUAAUACAGAGGGUGCAAGCGUUAAUCGGAAUUACUGGGCGUAAAGCGAGCGUAGGUGGCUUGAUAAUUCAGAUGUGAAAGCCCCGGGCUUAACCUGGGAACGGCAUCUGAUACUGUUAGGCUAGAGUAGGUGAGAGGAAGGUAGAAUUCCAGGUGUAGCGGUGAAAUGCGUAGAGAUCUGGAGGAAUACCGAUGGCGAAGGCAGCCUUCUGGCAUCAUACUGACACUGAGGUUCGAAAGCGUGGGUAGCAAACA
This 427-nucleotide ribosomal RNA is filed under the name uncultured bacterium. Its description in RNAcentral is "partial 16S ribosomal RNA". It matches the Rfam family "Bacterial small subunit ribosomal RNA", at positions 355 to 774 of the family's 1533-position model. The record is from RNAcentral.